Molecule: long non-coding RNA, 502 nt
Organism: Trifolium pratense (red clover)
Lineage: Eukaryota; Viridiplantae; Streptophyta; Magnoliopsida; Fabales; Fabaceae
Exons: 5
Source: RefSeq, a predicted model, not a curated record
UUCUCUCUCUUCUCUCUUUUCUCCCUACGAUCUCUCUCUAUUUUCUCACCAUCUUCAUGAACAUCAUGAAGAACAACAAGAACACCACCACCCAUCCCCAGAUUCCGGCGAGCCAUCGCCGGCCACCGUCGCCGCCGGAGCUUCUUUCAUCUGUAAAAGAAGAUGGGUUCAACAUCAAAGACUUUAACCUUUGAGGAUCUGGCUAAACACAAUCACAAGAAAGAUUGAUGGAUCAUAGUCAACAAGUUCUUGCAUGUAGGAAAUUCUCAAUAGAUUCAAGUUUUUGGGUGUUGGAAAAACUAAGUGAACCAAACACUAGCUACUUUAGGCUUCUUUGGAGUUGAGAAGCUGCAAAUAAUGUGAGCAAGUUUACAUGUUCUCAAUAUCUCAUCUUGAUAUCCUUCAUUCAAUAAUUAGGUUAUCAAAGCUUAUAUGCUAAGGAUUUCGAACAACUUCAACUGUACCAUAGUCUUUUGGAUCAUCACAAUUUGAUUGAAUUGUA